UACGUAGGCAGCAAGCGUUGUUCGGAGUUACUGGGCGUAAAGGGUGCGUAGGCGGUUUCGCAAGUUCAGUGUGAAAUCUCCCGGCUUAACUGGGAGGGUGCGCCGAAAACUGCGAGGCUGGAGUGUGGGAGAGGUAAGCGGAAUUCCUGGUGUAGCGGUGAAAUGCGUAGAUAUCAGGAGGAACACCGGCGGUGUAGACGGCUUACUGGACCAUGACUGACGCUGAUGCACGAAAGCGUGGGGAGCAAACAGG
This 253-nucleotide ribosomal RNA is filed under the name uncultured bacterium. Its description in RNAcentral is "partial 16S ribosomal RNA". It matches the Rfam family "Bacterial small subunit ribosomal RNA", at positions 524 to 776 of the family's 1533-position model. The record is from RNAcentral.